CACUUUAAAGUGCUUCGGUCAAAGUUAUUCCAGGAGCGCCACCUCUGGGUCAGGCAGGAAACUUUUCAUCCCACCCUCGUAUUGAAAAUCGCCUAUCAAAUUUCAUUUGCUAUUUCAUCGUAUCUUAUCAUUUCCUUUGUCGGUUCAUUCUAUCUUAUCAUUUUUUUAGCUGUCUUAUUCACAUUCAAACAGAUAUGAUUCCAAACAGCAGUUUCUUUACAGAUUUAGCGAAAUCUUAGAUAUUAAAACUGAUCAAAAUAUGAAGGAGGCGUUUUUUGAAGUUUAUAAUACUUUUCCUUUGUAUAUUUCAUAUGCGAAAAAAAAUUAAUUCUGUAUCACAUCUGUAAGUUUUAAAAUAUAUCAGAUAUUUGAUAAAAAAAAACAUAGCAUCAGUGCCGUGAAGUAAUAUAGAAAGUUAUGAUUGCUUCGUGUAUUUUCCUUGGUAUAAAGAACAAGAUCUUCUAGAGGCCUUUAAACAGACAAUGUAAAAACACAGAAUAUAAAUAAGAUUUAAGAAACAUCUAUCGGGAUUUCAACUCAAUCUUGAAAGUGUACCUAUUAUAUUUAUAAGUUGUAAUUAAACAAAAACCAACAACUGACAGUAUGUCUCAAAAAGAUUCAGCCAAUCUUACAAAUAGUCACGUUUCGUAUCAAGGGGAUUCUGAUAAUCUUCCUCCAUCUCUUCAUUUGGAGAAUAAAGCAUCUGGCGGCGAUGAGAAGGACAUAUCUGACGAAAGCCAAAAAACUGAAUCUUGUCCGAAUCGCUUUGGAAAAUGUUUGAGCAGAUUCAAGCUAGAAAUCUUGUCAGUUAUAUUCAUGUUCUCCUGGGUUUUGAAAGAAGUUUCAUCGACUUCUAUGAUUCUGGACAAAGUGUGUUUGGUUCAUUGCAAUUAUUCUCAUGAAAUUUGUGACAAUUUAGAUAAUUACACCGACAUAAAAUCUUCGGUGGCGAAAAUGGCUACAAAUUAUGAACUUGGACACAAUCUUAUACAAACGGCACCAGCAGUUUUGAUUUCGUGUUUCGUUGGACCUUGGAGCGAUCAGUAUGGCAGAAAAAUUCCAUUGUUAAUUGCCAUUGUAGGAAUGGCAUUGAAUACUUUCGGCUCAGCUAUAUGCGCGUAUUUCUUAUACUCCAGAAUUGAGUACUAUUAUAUUCCAGCAAUAUUUACAGGUUGUUUUGGUGGAGUCGUGACUGUCUUGACUGUUAUUUACAGUUAUGCCUCAGAUACGACCGUUGAAGUAGGAAGAACUAUGAAGUACGCUUUUUUGGAAAUGGCUCUUGGAUUAUCUCAACCUUUAGGAGUCGGUGCUGGUGGCUGGAUUUACAAGUUUUGGGGCUAUCCUGCAGUAUUUCUGACAUCCGCAGCUGGAUUAACCGUCAGUUUUGUUUUGGUAGCUCUCUUUUUGCCGGAGACACGAGGUCAGGCAAACCACGACGCUUUGAAAACCAAGCUUAAAAAUCUGUUUACUUUAAAGACAUUGAAGGAAGGUUUCGCAGCCGCUGUAAAACAGCGACCCAAUCAAGGUCGGAAACAAAUAUUGUUACUGAUAAUAUGCAUGUGUUUCAUAGUAAUCGCAACUAAUUCUACGGGCAACGUAAAUUACAUUUUUGCUCAUCUUGUAUACAAUUGGGAUAAUACAACAUUUUCAACAAGCAGAGCCGUCUAUUCAGUCAUUGGUGUCGUUGUAUUAGUCAUCGUGGUUCCAAUAUUAAAAUAUUUCAAAUCCGGAGAUCCCGUCCUUGGAUUGAUUGGAACGAUAUCCAUUCUUUUGAAAUACGUUGGAAUCGGACUGGCAUUGAAACCAGCAGUAUAUCACAUUGCCAACAUUCUAGGCAGCUUGAGCGGUUGUGCAUCUCUUGCAGGACGUUCUCGAAUUUCUAAAGUGGUUUCAGAUGAAGAUAUAGGCAAAGUUUUCUCAUUUGUGGCAACGUCUGAAGCGUUGCUUCCUAUUUUAACGACAGUCCUUAUCUCUCAAAUUUUCACAGCUUCUCUUGAAAUAUAUCCUGCUAUGCCGUACAUCGUAUUGGCACUCUGCCUGAUUUUACCUCUCGGUGUCUUUGGAAGAUGUAGCGAGAAUUCUUUGAACUGUAAUGUGUUGCCAAAUAAGAUAACCGAAAUCUACCUUUGGUGAAUUGGCGAACAUUGACUUGCAACCCUCACAACGAAAAAUGAACUUUCCAAGAUUUCUUCAGUCGAUGUGUGAUUCCCUUGAGUGCAUGUGGUGGAUGACUCGUCUUCCGAAUGCAAGCUCUGCAUACAAUGAAAGCGACGACGACACAGCGCCUGCGAACACCGAUGCUUGAAAAUGUAA
Molecule: RNA transcript, 2313 nt
Organism: Argiope bruennichi
Lineage: Eukaryota; Metazoa; Arthropoda; Arachnida; Araneae; Araneidae
Gene name: proton-coupled folate transporter-like
Exons: 7
Source: RefSeq, a predicted model, not a curated record